Molecule: non-coding RNA, 148 nt
Filed under: Chlorocebus sabaeus (green monkey)
Lineage: Eukaryota; Metazoa; Chordata; Mammalia; Primates; Cercopithecidae
Source: Rfam by way of RNAcentral
GCCGGGCAUGGUGGUGCAUGCCUAUAAUCCCAGCUACUUGGGAGGCUGAGGCUGGAGAAUCACUUGAACCCAGGAGGUGGAGGUUGCAGUGAGCUGAGAUUGCGCCACUGCACUCCAGCCUGGGCAACAGAGUGAGACUCUGUCUCAU